Long non-coding RNA from Centruroides sculpturatus (bark scorpion), 300 nucleotides. RefSeq lists it as uncharacterized. The record is from RefSeq and is a predicted model, not a curated record. The transcript is spliced from 3 exons. NCBI's taxonomy places the organism in Eukaryota, Metazoa, Arthropoda, Arachnida, Scorpiones, Buthidae.
CAGAAACUCUCAUCAUCAGAAUUCAGCUUAACAUACAAAUUAAAGAUUUUAAAUUUUAUGAAGAGAUUUAGCGGAAUGCCUCUUGGAAUUUCUGUGGGAGGAUUCUUCUUCUCGGAUAAAGAUUUACCUAUUAAAGCUAUAGAUGCUCUUUAUUCUGUUUUCACAACUCUUCUGAAAUUAAGAGAUCUCUCCAGAGAGAGUAGGUGUCUACCAACAACUGCAUUGAAUAACACAUACGACGAACUAUGGUCAUACAUACGAACUGCAUGAAGUGUGUUCAUAUUUAUGGAGAACGAAAUA